CCUAGUAACGGCGAGUGAAGCGGCAAGAGCUCAAAUUUGAAAGCUGGCUCCUUCGGGGUCCGCAUUGUAAUUUGCAGAGGAUGCUUCGGGAGCGGUCCCCGUCUAAGUGCCCUGGAACGGGCCGUCAUAGAGGGUGAGAAUCCCGUAUGGGACGGGGUGUCCGCGCCCGUGUGAAGCUCCUUCGACGAGUCGAGUUGUUUGGGAAUGCAGCUCUAAAUGGGUGGUAAAUUUCAUCUAAAGCUAAAUAUUGGCCGGAGACCGAUAGCGCACAAGUAGAGUGAUCGAAAGAUGAAAAGCACUUUGAAAAGAGAGUUAAAAAGCACGUGAAAUUGUUGAAAGGGAAGCGCUUGCGACCAGACUCGCCUACGGGGUUCAGCCGGCAUUCGUGCCGGUGUACUUCCCCGUGGGCGGGCCAGCGUCGGUUUGGGCGGCCGGUCAAAGGCUCCCGGAAUGUAACGCCUCUCGGGGCGUCUUAUAGCCGGGGGUGCAAUGCGGCCUGCCUGGACCGAGGAACGCGCUUCGGCACGGACGCUGGCAUAAUGGUCGUAAGCGACCCGUCUUGAAACACGGACCAAGGAGUCUAACAUCUACGCGAGUGUUCGGGUGUCAAACCCGUACGCGCAGUGAAAGCGAACGGAGGUGGGAACCCUUACGGGUGCACCAUCGACCGAUCCUGAUGUCUUCGGAUGGAUUUGAGUAAGAGCGUAGCUGUUGGGACCCGAAAGAUGGUGAACUAUGCCUGAAUAGGGCGAAGCCAGAGGAAACUCUGGUGGAGGCUCGCAGCGGUUCUGACGUGCAAAUCGAUCGUCGAAUUUGGGUAUAGGGCGAAAGACUAAU
This 837-nucleotide ribosomal RNA is filed under the name Penicillium catalonicum. RNAcentral describes it as "LSU rRNA". It matches the Rfam family "Eukaryotic large subunit ribosomal RNA", at positions 79 to 935 of the family's 3401-position model. Lineage: Eukaryota; Fungi; Ascomycota; Eurotiomycetes; Eurotiales; Aspergillaceae. The record is from RNAcentral.